CAGUCGCCGCGGGAAUACGUAGGGUGCAAGCGUUAAUCGGAAUUACUGGGCGUAAAGCGUGCGCAGGCGGUUUUGUAAGACAGAGGUGAAAUCCCCGGGCUCAACCUGGGAACUGCCUUUGUGACUGCAAGGCUAGAGUACGGCAGAGGGGGAUGGAAUUCCGCGUGUAGCAGUGAAAUGCGUAGAUAUGCGGAGGAACACCGAUGGCGAAGGCAAUCCCCUGGGCCUGUACUGACGCUCAUGCACGAAAGCGUGGGGAGCAAACAGGAUUAGAUACCCGCGUAGUCCCUGUCUCUUAUAC
RNAcentral lists this ribosomal RNA (301 nucleotides) under uncultured bacterium. RNAcentral describes it as "partial 16S ribosomal RNA". It matches the Rfam family "Bacterial small subunit ribosomal RNA", at positions 509 to 807 of the family's 1533-position model. The record is from RNAcentral.